CAUCUAUUUUUAAGACAUCGUUCGAUUUUAACCAUUCAUUUUAUGCCCGCUUGAUGGAUUUUAUUAUGAUUUCAAAAAAUUACGAAAUUUAUUUUCUAGAAGUUUCAAAUACUCUAGAUCAUAUUUAACGAAGUGGAUCGUCGAUUUGGAAGCUCCAUAAUCGAAAACAACUUAUGAGUACGAAGGGCCCAAUACUCAUAAUAGUAUAGUA
Molecule: long non-coding RNA, 211 nt
Filed under: Ananas comosus (pineapple)
Lineage: Eukaryota; Viridiplantae; Streptophyta; Magnoliopsida; Poales; Bromeliaceae
Description: long non-coding RNA (ACOM_LNC040398)
Source: RNAcentral